Molecule: long non-coding RNA, 168 nt
Organism: Sinocyclocheilus rhinocerous
Lineage: Eukaryota; Metazoa; Chordata; Actinopteri; Cypriniformes; Cyprinidae
Exons: 3
Source: RefSeq, a predicted model, not a curated record
CAGAUCUCUUGUAAGAGCUCAACUUGCUGAAUUGACAGUGGUCUCCACGGACAUUAUCCCGAGACAUACAAGGGCUAUUCAUCCAUUGCACAAUGGCUAGCAAAGGCACCAAAAGAAAGCAUAAUCAUGAAUCAUCUGACUCAAGUACAGAAUCACCACUGACAACAG